AUGUCUAAGCGAAGAAGGCAGAGCGAGGAUCAGCCCGGCCGCAGUGGCACAAAGCAGAAGAAGAGCCUCUAUCUGGUUCUAGACGAUUGGCACAAAGGCUUCAUCAUCUGCAAGAUCGACGCCGACAGUCCCGACCUCAGCGGCCCCCCUGUCCUCCGGCUACUGUCACUUGAGCGCGGCCGUGCCAUGAGGUUCGCAGCCCUGGGCAGCAACAUCAUCGCCACGAGCAACAUACACGCCGGGACCCUCUUCUACGACACGGACACCGCCGGACUGUCCAUCGGCCCUCCCGUUCCAGACGCACCGCUCGGCGGCUCCAACACCUUCCUGACCUCCGGCGCCGGCGACGCGCUGUUCGCGUUCGCCUUCCAUCUCAUGGAGCGGCCUGUGUCCUUCGAGGCGAUGACGAGGCCGCCGAUGACCGGAGACGACGACCUGCUGCCCACCGACUGGGCGGUCUGCGGCACGUACUCCGUCGACACCAGGAGCAGCAAAUGGAGGCGGCAGGGGGAGUGGAUGCUGCCUUUCAGAGGCCGAGGCUACUUCGACGCCGAGCUGGACGCGUGGGUCGGGCUGCACGAGGACGGCUACAUCUGCUCCUGCCAGGUCGCCUCCCGCAGCGGCGGCGCCACCACGGAGCGGCCGGACUGGAAGAUGGCCGACGAGCAGAGGAUGUGGAUCCCGUGCCAUCAACUGGCGAAAGGGGAGGGAGCUACUCUCACGUACAUGGGCAAUGCCAGGUUUUGCCUGGUCGAUUGCGUGGCAGGCGAUGGAGUCGAGUUUCAGGAUGCGUUUGGUGUCGCUGGCGGCUGCGUGCUCCAUAUCACCACCUUCCGCCUCCGGUACGAUCGUAAGGGCAAGCUGCGGAUCGUCGACCGGAAUACUAGCUCAUGCCCUGUGUCUAAGCAUUUCACGUCUCUCCUGUGGCGUUUUGGAUGUAGCGCACUGCUCGAACAGGUUCUGGAGUAA
RNAcentral lists this ribosomal RNA (969 nucleotides) under Triticum aestivum (bread wheat). RNAcentral describes it as "partial small subunit ribosomal RNA". Lineage: Eukaryota; Viridiplantae; Streptophyta; Magnoliopsida; Poales; Poaceae. The record is from RNAcentral.